AUUAUGGACUCAAUGUAGCAGAUAUUGUAGACCCAAAGGACACAAGAGUAAUGAAAAUGUAGGAGCAUUACAUAUUUUUAGGAGUUUAAAUGUCUACAUAUUUCUAAAUCUGGAAGCAGCUUUGAUAUAUGAAGGACAAUGGCUUACAUUGUGACCUAAGACAUAUCCCUGGGGGGCCUAUAUUUCCAUCAAGCUAAUCACCAUUUUCCCUUGCAGGAGGUGGGAUGACCAAAAGUUCUGGAUCUUUCUAGCACAAUGUGUCACUUCGACCACAACCGAAGUUUAAAGAGACUCAACUCUUCCUAUAUAGAAACAGCAUAUUUCCCUCCCAUCUCCCUCAGACAAAUAGGCCCCUUGUCUAUGACACGGAGCCCUAGAGAAGGAAGUGUCUUGCCCAAGAAUCGCUCUGAGUGGAGCCAAGAGUUGCAUUUCAGGGAGAAAUCAAAAGCCAUAUAUUCUACCCCAAGCAAGUUGAAAAAGAGGGGAAUAUUCAGUAUGUGCAAAUACCAGACAGGGACCUCAUCAGAGGUAAGUUCUACUAUCUAUAAGAAAAUUAAGCAAACCAUUGAAAGAAGUUAGGGACUCUCCUUCCAUAAAUAUUUAGGGAUCCAACUUUUUUUUUUUGGUGUGUGUGUGUGUGUGUGUGUUACUGAGAAUUGAACCUAGGGACUCGUAAUUGCUAAACAAGCACUCUGCCACCAAACUACAUCCCCAGCCCCAGAGGUUUUUAAUAUAGUAUUUAGUUAGAGACAGUAGAUGUCAAUAAUUAGCCCUCUGUACAUGGUUUCUACUAAACUUCUGCUCCCAAAUAUCUUUCUAUGGGAUGAUUUUAAAAAUUUUAUUGGGAAAACGGAAAAGCCCAAAAUGAGCAAGUAAAAACUUUACAAUUAAGUGAAAGCAGGAAGAAAAGACUUUUGACACAUGUUGAGAAUCUUGGCUGCAAACAAAAAAGACCGUCAGAUCACCUUGGGAAACCCGGACAUGUGUCAGGAGAAUCCGAGAGGACUGGAGCAGACGCACAGGCCUUCAGGAACAGUGGCAUCUCUGGGUGCAAUGUUCUGCCAUCUUGCUCUGGCAGCCACGCAUACUCAUCCUCUUCUCGCUCCUGACCAGCUUCCUCUUGGUUUCUGCUCCCUACCAUCAGCUUGCACGUGGCUUCUGGCCCCUUGGGCCCCUCUCCAACCGAGACCCUUCAGUUUCAGCUCCCUGGUAUUCGCUAGCACAGUGCUUCACUGUAAAUUCUCAGAGUAUGAAUCUGAUUGGAUCAGAUCACCUAUUAGGGUCAAGUCACAUUAUAGACCAUUGUCCAGCCAAUGCAAUGGCUGUCCUUAAAUCAACUGCCCACCACUGGUCUAAUCAUCAAAACCAAUGAGGGAUGGGACGCAAAACCAUUUGGUCCAAGCAUUUCUCACCAGAAAGAGCUGAGGUAUGGGCAGGCUCUGAUUGCUGUCUCUAUUAAAUUGCAAUGCUACCCAGAAGAAGAGCUUUUAAACUGCAGCUUGAGGGCAUGUUCUAUUAUUUUAUUCAUGCAAUCAUUUAUUCAUUCUGGCCUAUCUCCUAUUAAAGAAGAUUUGAGAUGACUUACAAAUCUGUAUAUGAUAUGUUAGGAUCAAAUAGUUGAGAAAAAUAUAGGCAAACAGAAAAGAAAAAAGGAAAAAAAAAAAAAGAAAGAAUGGGAAAGCAAAAAGCCAGGAGCAAAAUUAACAUCGUGUAGUACAUUAACAUUCAACACUAGAAAAUUGCUAAAGGGGAGUGUUAUGAUCUGCAUAUUUUCACCCCCCAAAAAAGUUCAUCUGUUGAAUCAUUACCCCCAAUGCAAUCGUAUUAAGAAGUGAAGCUUUCAAGAAUUGAUUAAGUCAUCAGGGCAGAGCCCUCAGAAAUGGAAUUACUGCUGUUCUAUGAGUCCUGAGGGAACUGGCUUGCCUUCCACCUUGUGAGGACACAGCAAGAAGGUACUAUCUUCAAAGAAGAGAGAGAGCCAGACACUGAAUCUGCUGGUACUCUCUGCAUGGACUUUCCAACCUCUAGAAUUGUGAGCAAUAAAUUUCUAUUGUUUACAAAUUACCCAGUGUACUGUAUAAGGUAUUUUAUUCUAGCAGCAAGAAUGGACUAAGACCUUGAAUCUGUGUCUGAAUCUGAGACCUGCCAAACUUAAUAUCAAGUAGCUACGGACAGGGAAGAGUCCUGGCAGAAAAAGUCAUUUACAGUAGAAUAGAUUACUUGCCACGCCUAUGGAAGCCUGUCCCUCCAAAGAGAUGUCCCUCUUCUCUCUGUGCUGAUUUGUGGCCUGCCUUGAUAGAGAAGGCGAGUCUAGAGUGUCUCCAGGCUUUCCCUGGUCCUGAGUUCAUAACGAUAGCCGAGAUUUCAUUGACUGCACCAGAAACAAAUCAUUAAGAAGGUGAGAUUUUAUGGAGCAAAAACCAACCUCCAACACAACUUCAAUCCAUGGAUACCUCAGUCCCCAGCCCCCUCCCAAACUGGAGACAUAGUUUGAAAGCUGAAAAGGCCGAUCAUAAAUUUCUCAUUUCUUUUUUAUUGUGCAUAGUAAGGCAAGAAGUACACGGGAAGGCUGGCUCAGGGAUUUUGCUGCUCUCCAG
RNAcentral lists this long non-coding RNA (2597 nucleotides) under Marmota monax (woodchuck). Lineage: Eukaryota; Metazoa; Chordata; Mammalia; Rodentia; Sciuridae. The record is from RNAcentral.